GGCUAUGGGAAAGAAACCUGGAAAGGUAGGGAGGUAUGGAUAUGGACAAGCUAUGCCAAGGAGCAGGGCUUUGUCAUGGAGAGUGACUAGGUGCUUUUACAUAGGAAAGUCACCUGAUAAUAUUAAAACCUGUGAAAUAUCACUCUGGUGGAAGUGUGAAUGAAUUUGAAAGGGGUGUAACACUGUUCUACUUUGUUUACUCCUCAGUACCCUUGGCUGUGUACAUUUGAGUAAAGAGAGCACUAUAAAAUCAAAAACCAAUGAAAUGGUUUCCAGAACACAGAACUAUUAAGCUUAAGAAAAGGACAGAAGGAACUGAAGAGAGAGGAACUGUUUUGGAGCAUCACACUUCCACCUCAGAAGAAAUAAGGAAGGAAGGAGGAGGGUGUUCCCACGGCUCUUCAACCAGGCCGGCUCUUCAGCCUACAUCCCCAUCUCAUCAAGUAAAAGGGAUUUUUCAACUGGACCAACCAGAUGGUUUAACAGUGCACUCCCACACCAUUCAACUACGCAAGGGAGAUACACUUAACAUAUGCAGUCGUAUAACACCUACUAACAUUUUCAAACAUUAAACCUUUAAAAAAGAGUUCUAAAGAAAUAGAAGCUUGAAGUAUCAUCUCUCAAGUAUAUAGACACUACUUCAUGGUGUGGUAAUAUAUGCAUAUAGAAGCUAGUAAACACCUCCAGGAGAUGCAAAAGGAAUUAGAACUGCCACAAGGUGCAAGCAAAACCUUGAGGUAAUCAAUCUGCAUCCCAUUUUGGAUGAGAAUAUUUGCAACUUUGAAGGUUAUUUUAAGGACAGCAGCAGAAGAAUUAUGGCAGGUAUCUGAAAUUCAUUUCUGUGCUUUGCCGAGGACCCAUGGGAUGCCAUUUGCAGAUGAGAAAACUAAAGAAUAGCUUUAUCUUCCAGCUCUUCACGGAAAAAAAAAUGGCAACAAUAAAAUCAGCAACUCCUGCCAAAUAAAUGGGCAUAAAAAAGAAAUCAUAGACUGCUGGCAAUGGUGGGGAAAAAGUUAUAAAAAUUGUCUCUGCACCAUCUUCCUUUUGUCCUCUAAAAUAUUCACAUUAGCAAAAGUAUAUAACAGCUGAUGAAGAAAUACUGAUAAUUUGUCUUUGUAAGUAUAUCGAAAACAUUUCAAGAUCUAGAAAUUUGAAAUUGUUGACAAGUAUUUAUCUGUUUAUUCACAAAUUUGAAAUCAACCUCAGGAAUGCUCAUUCUGAUUGAUAUACUUAGGUCAUAAAUUUUUAAGACCACAGAUUUCCAGGGACUUUUUGGAAAAUCACCCAGUAAAACAAUGUCUUUUUGCAGGGGACUAGCUUCAGUAUUUUGGCUUCUUUUUGCUUCUUUGCAACAAAUUGGGAGACAAAGGUGGGAAAGUUUUUUUCAAUAAGUUAAUAAUUUUUUAAAGGUCAAAAUUUUGUUCUUUGCUUAUAUUAGAAUUAAACACUGUGAGAUUCUCUCUGAGACCUUGUAUACUUUCUCUUUUAAAGAUAAUUUCACUGCAUGUAAUUUUUCGGGGAAUGACUCUCAGAGUUGUUGUCUGAAAGUACCUUGAUGUUUGGAUAUUGGUUUGUUUGGAUGAACAACAAAAGGAAUCAGUAAGAGAAGUUAUUAUAAGAAAUAUAAAGCUAUUAUUAACAUUUCAAUGAAA
This 1652-nucleotide long non-coding RNA is filed under the name Homo sapiens (human). RNAcentral describes it as "HSALNT0374928". The record is from RNAcentral. Lineage: Eukaryota; Metazoa; Chordata; Mammalia; Primates; Hominidae.